This 568-nucleotide ribosomal RNA is filed under the name uncultured bacterium. Its description in RNAcentral is "bacterial SSU rRNA". It matches the Rfam family "Bacterial small subunit ribosomal RNA", at positions 59 to 624 of the family's 1533-position model. The record is from RNAcentral.
CAGUCGAACGGAACUGUUUUGAAAGAUUUCUUCGGAAUGAAUUUGAUUUAGUUUAGUGGCGGACGGGUGAGUAACGCGUGAGUAACCUGCCUUCAAGAGGGGGAUAACAUUCUGAAAAGAAUGCUAAUACCGCAUGACAUAUCGGAACCACAUGGUUCUGAUAUCAAAGAUUUUAUCGCUUGAAGAUGGACUCGCGUCCGAUUAGUUAGUUGGUGAGGUAACGGCUCACCAAGACCGCGAUCGGUAGCCGGACUGAGAGGUUGAACGGCCACAUUGGGACUGAGACACGGCCCAGACUCCUACGGGAGGCAGCAGUGGGGGAUAUUGCGCAAUGGGGGCAACCCUGACGCAGCAACGCCGCGUGAAGGAUGAAGGUUUUCGGAUUGUAAACUUCUUUUAUUAAGGACGAAAAAUGACGGUACUUAAUGAAUAAGCUCCGGCUAACUACGUGCCAGCAGCCGCGGUAAUACGUAGGGAGCAAGCGUUGUCCGGAUUUACUGGGUGUAAAGGGUGCGUAGGCGGCUUUGCAAGUCAGAUGUGAAAUCUAUGGGCUCAACCCAUAAACUGC